Molecule: unclassified non-coding RNA, 244 nt
Filed under: Hevea brasiliensis (rubber tree)
Lineage: Eukaryota; Viridiplantae; Streptophyta; Magnoliopsida; Malpighiales; Euphorbiaceae
Source: RNAcentral
GGUGGGUGCUGUGUGGCUCAUGGAAGUAUGGUGCAUGUUUAUGAUUGGAUGAUGGAAGAACACCCGCCUAUUAAUCUUGAUUACCAGAGAGUGAACGAUGUGGCUUUUUUUGGUUUUUUCUCAGUGCCUGUGAGAGAUUAGGCCGCGGAGAUGGAGGAAUGGGGCUGUUCAGUAAGAGUACAGGGGAGCUCAGGUAUAAGUUUCAGGUCUGCCAUGAGAAUCAAUUGAAGAGCUAUACAGCUGG